Molecule: transfer RNA, 73 nt
Filed under: Bacillota bacterium
Lineage: Bacteria; Bacillati; Bacillota
Description: tRNA-Lys
Rfam family: tRNA
About the family: Transfer RNA (tRNA) molecules are approximately 80 nucleotides in length.
Source: RNAcentral
GGGCUCGUAGCUCAACUGGCAGAGCAACCGGCUUUUAACCGGUAGGUUCAGGGUUCGAUUCCCUGCGAGCCCA